GCUUGCUGUUCUAAAGUAAACACUGAGGGUAUGAAUUGGCUUGAAACUAAUUAUUCUUGUGGCAAUAGCUCAAAGAGAUAUGAACAUUUGUACAUCAACUGUGGAGGAAAUGCAACAACAAUAAAUGGAAGCAACUAUGAAGCUGAUCUUGAUCCAAAUGGAGAAUCAAGGUUCUAUCUGAGCAGUAAUGGAGCCUGGGGAUUCAGUAG
Long non-coding RNA from Coffea eugenioides, 209 nucleotides. RefSeq lists it as uncharacterized. The record is from RefSeq and is a predicted model, not a curated record. The transcript is spliced from 3 exons. NCBI's taxonomy places the organism in Eukaryota, Viridiplantae, Streptophyta, Magnoliopsida, Gentianales, Rubiaceae.